This 492-nucleotide ribosomal RNA is filed under the name uncultured bacterium. RNAcentral describes it as "partial 16S ribosomal RNA". It matches the Rfam family "Bacterial small subunit ribosomal RNA", at positions 29 to 507 of the family's 1533-position model. The record is from RNAcentral.
AGUGAACGCUGGCGGUAGGCUUAACACAUGCAAGUCGAACGGCAGCACAGUAAGAGCUUGCUCUUACGGGUGGCGAGUGGCGGACGGGUGAGGAAUACAUCGGAAUCUACUUUUUCGUGGGCGAUAACGUAGGCAAACUUACGCUAAUACCGCAUACGACCUACGGGUGAAAGCAGGGGAUCUUCGGACCUUUUGCGAUUGAAUGAGCCGAUGUCGGAUUAGUUAGUUGGCGGGGUAAAGGCCCACCAAGGCUACGAUCCGUAGCUGGUCUGUGAGGCUGAUCGCCGACACUAGAACUGAGACACGGUCCAGACGACUACGGGAGGCAGCAGUGGGGAAUAUUAGGCACUAGGGGCAAGCCUGGUACAACCAUACCGCGUAGGUGAAGAAGACCUUCAGGUUGUAAAGCCCUUUUGUUGGGAGAGAAAAGCAGCAGGAUAAUACGCCGCUGUUCUGACGGUACCCGAAGAAUAAGCACCGGCUAACUUCGUG